RNAcentral lists this unclassified non-coding RNA (89 nucleotides) under Pseudomonas kilonensis. The record is from RNAcentral. Lineage: Bacteria; Pseudomonadati; Pseudomonadota; Gammaproteobacteria; Pseudomonadales; Pseudomonadaceae.
UGCGGGAGCGGGCUUGCUCGCGAAGGCGGUCUGUCUGAGGCGGUGAUGUUGGUUGUGCCGCCGUCAUCGCGAGCAAGCCCGCUCCCACA